This 77-nucleotide transfer RNA is filed under the name Candidatus Dadabacteria bacterium. RNAcentral's name for it is "tRNA-Arg". It matches the Rfam family "tRNA". From Rfam's summary of the family: Transfer RNA (tRNA) molecules are approximately 80 nucleotides in length. Their secondary structure includes four short double-helical elements and three loops (D, anti-codon, and T loops). The record is from RNAcentral. RNAcentral also lists the same sequence under 1 other name. Lineage: Bacteria; Pseudomonadati; Thermodesulfobacteriota; Candidatus Dadabacteria.
GGGUGAUUAGCUCAGUGGAUUAGAGCACAGGCCUCCGGAGCCUGGGGUCGGGGGUUCGAAUCCCCCAUCGCCCGCCA